GAUGAAGAACGCAGCGAAAUGCGAUAACUAAUGUGAAUUGCAGAAUUCCGUGAAUCAUCGAGUCUUUGAACGCACAUUGCGCCCCCUGGUAUUCCGGGGGGCAUGCCUGUCCGAGCGUCAUUGCUGCCCAUCAAGCACGGCUUGUGUGUUGGGUCCUCGUCCCCCCCGGGGGACGUACCCGAAAGGCAGCGGCGGCACCGCGUCCGGUCCUCGAGCGUAUGGGGCUUUGUCACCCGCUCUGCAGGCCCGGCCGGCGCUGGCCGACGCGAAAGCAACCAUUUUUUCUCCAGGUUGACCUCGGAUCAGGUAGGGAUACCCGCUGAACUUAAGCAUAUCAAUAAGCGGAGGA
Molecule: unclassified non-coding RNA, 349 nt
Filed under: soil metagenome
Description: partial contains 5.8S ribosomal RNA, internal transcribed spacer 2, and large subunit ribosomal RNA
Rfam family: 5.8S ribosomal RNA (bases 1-120)
Source: RNAcentral